This 75-nucleotide transfer RNA is filed under the name Flavobacteriales bacterium TMED84. Its description in RNAcentral is "tRNA-Glu". It matches the Rfam family "tRNA". Rfam says of the family: Transfer RNA (tRNA) molecules are approximately 80 nucleotides in length. Their secondary structure includes four short double-helical elements and three loops (D, anti-codon, and T loops). Lineage: Bacteria; Pseudomonadati; Bacteroidota; Flavobacteriia; Flavobacteriales. RNAcentral also lists the same sequence under 1 other name. The record is from RNAcentral.
GGCCCGGUCGUCUAGUGGUUAGGACGCCAGGUUUUCAUCCUGGUAACCGGGGUUCGAUUCCCCGUCGGGCUACAA